Molecule: ribosomal RNA, 831 nt
Filed under: uncultured archaeon
Lineage: Archaea
Description: bacterial SSU rRNA
Rfam family: Archaeal small subunit ribosomal RNA
Source: RNAcentral
GCUACUGCUCUUGGAGUUCGAUUAAAGCAUGCGAGUCAAGAGGUCUUCGGAUACUCGGCAUAAUGCUCAGUAACACGUGGAUAAUCUACCCUUAGGAGGGGCAUAAUCCCGGGAAACUGAGGCUAAUUCCCCAUAAGUCUGAUCUGCUGGAACGCUUUCAGGCUGAAACUUCCGGGCCUAAGGAUGAGUCUGCGGCCUAUCAGGUUGUAGUGGGUGUAAAGUACCCACUAGCCUUCGACGGGUAUGGGCCUUGAGAGAGGAAGCCCAGAGAUGGACUCUGAGACACGAGUCCAGGCCCUACGGGGCGCAGCAGCUGCGAAAACUUCGCAAUGUGGGAAACCACGACGAGGGAACUCCAAGUGCUAGCGCAAAGCGUUAGCUGUUCUUUUGCCUAAAAAGCAAAAGGAGAAAGGGCUGGGUAAGACCGGUGCCAGCCGCCGCGGUAAUACCGGCAGCUCGAGUGGUAGUCGUUUUUAUCGGGCUUAAAGCGUCCGUAGCCUGCUUAGUAAAUCCUUGGGUAAAUCGGCCAGCUUAACUGACCGAAUUCUGAUGAGACUGCUAAGCUUGGGACCGGGAGAAGUUAGAAGUACUCCUGGGGUAGGGGUGAAAUCCUGUAAUCCUGGGGUGACUACCAGUGGCGAAGGCGUCUAACUAGAACGGAUCCGACGGUGAGGGACGAAACCCUGGGGCACAAACGGGAUUAGAUACCCCGGUAGUCCAGGGCGUAAACGCUGCAGGCUUGGUGUUGGGAGUCCCACGAGGGCACUCAGUGCCGGAGUGAAAAUGUUAAGCCUGCCGCCUGGGGAGUACGGCCGCAAGGUUGAAACUUAA